GUGCCGUCGCGCUGAUGGUACUGCGUCUCAAGACGUGGGAGAGUAAGUCACCGCCAGAC
RNAcentral lists this ribosomal RNA (59 nucleotides) under Limimaricola soesokkakensis. The record is from RNAcentral. Lineage: Bacteria; Pseudomonadati; Pseudomonadota; Alphaproteobacteria; Rhodobacterales; Paracoccaceae.